UCCGGUUUGUCACCGGCAGUCACCUUAGAGUGCCCAACUGAAUGCUGGCAACUAAGGUCAAGGGUUGCACUCGUUGCGGGACUUAACCCAACAUCUCACGACACGAGCUGACGACAACCAUGCACCACCUGUCACUCUGUCCCCCGAAGGGGAAAGCUCUAUCUCUAGAGGGAUCAGAGGAUGUCAAGACCUGGUAAGGUUCUUCGCGUUGCUUCGAAUUAAACCACAUGCUCCACUGCUUGUGCGGGCCCCCGUCAAUUCCUUUGAGUUUUAGCCUUGCGGCCGUACUUCCCAGGCGGGGCACUUAAUGCGUUAGCUACGGCACGGAGCCCGUCGAUCGAGCCCCACACCUAGUGCCCAACGUUUACGGCGUGGACUAC
Molecule: unclassified non-coding RNA, 380 nt
Filed under: uncultured bacterium
Lineage: Bacteria
Description: contains 16S-23S intergenic spacer region
Source: RNAcentral